Molecule: non-coding RNA, 1222 nt
Organism: Pelobates cultripes (western spadefoot toad)
Lineage: Eukaryota; Metazoa; Chordata; Amphibia; Anura; Pelobatidae
Source: the annotation of a GenBank genome assembly
CCAAAGUGAGGUCUUCAUAUCUGGACUAUUCCUAUCUUCUUACGUUGUGGAAAUUUGAACAUUAUUCUGCCCUUUUGCCUUUUUAUCCUUUAUUCUAGACAUUGUCUCACCACCAUUAUCUUACUUGGCGCAGCCCUUGUUCCUCCAUUUUUGUAUUUCUCCUAACAUUCUAAAGGGUUUUGAGGGAUUUCCCUUUUUUAAGGGUUGCUGCCUAUUGUGUUAUUUAGAACUUACUCACUCUGUAUGCAAACAAGACAGCCCAGACACUAUUCAGUGGACCACUAAUUUCAUGACUGCAUACACAGCACUAAAGGUAGCUAUUGUUGAGGCCCCAGCAUUAGGACUACCUGAUUAUUGUAAACCUUUCCAUCUUUAUUCGCGGGACAACUGUAAAACCAUGGCUGCUGUCUGUGCACAAGAGCACAGAGGUGGUAUGCGUCCCAUAGCAUAUUUCUCCAAAGUAGUUGCUAUACUGGUACAGGGGAUGCUGGUGUGUCUUCGGCCUUUGGCAGCAUGCUCUAUGGCUGAAGAGGGGGCCGCAACUAUUACCCUAGGCCACCCCACUAUACUUCAUACUUCACAUCAGGUAAUGCAUUUAAUAAAAAAAUCUUACUACACAACACAUGACUGCUCAAUGCCUUAGUGGUUAUGAAAUAAUUCUGUUAAACACACAGAAUCUUUCUAUUGUUUAUUCACCCAUUACAUCCGGCCUAUGUCUAUCCUUCAUGUCAUACUUACCUCCACUUCGCAUUCUAUGGAACAGUAUCCAGAGCCACAUGAUUGUAUUUCACAAAUCCAUUUAAUCACUUCUCCCUGCCCAGAUUUGUCAUCUUCUACUUUAGAAGGUGAGGUCGAGGAUGUAUUUGUUGAUGAUUCAUGUUCUCGUCCGAAUGACGGUGAAUACCAUACUGGUUAUGCUGUUGUCCAGUUACCUGACACUGCUCUCGAAGCCCAUACCCCAUCAAUCAGCCCAAGCCGCUGAACUGGUUGCUCUUACCCGUACCUGUCACUUAUUUAAGGGUAAACGUGUAAAUAUUUUUAUGGAUUCACGUUAUGCUCAUGGGGUUGUACAUGAUUUUGGAGUCAUUUUGAACAACGAGGGUUUGUAGGAGCAGAUGGAAAGAAAAUUUCACAUACUGAACUAAUACAGGAACUACUUGAUGUAAUACAACUCCCACUGGAGGUAGCCAUUAUUCAUUGUAGAGCUCAUACUAAUGGUAAU